This 770-nucleotide ribosomal RNA is filed under the name uncultured Peredibacter sp. RNAcentral's name for it is "bacterial SSU rRNA". It matches the Rfam family "Bacterial small subunit ribosomal RNA", at positions 666 to 1434 of the family's 1533-position model. Lineage: Bacteria; Pseudomonadati; Bdellovibrionota; Bacteriovoracia; Bacteriovoracales; Bacteriovoracaceae. The record is from RNAcentral.
AUUUCACGUGUAGGGGUAAAAUCCGUAGAGAUGUGAAGGAACACCGGUGGCGAAGGCGCCUACCUGGAUGAGCACUGACGCUGAGGCGCGAGAGCGUGGGGAGCAAACAGGAUUAGAUACCCUGGUAGUCCACGCCGUAAACGAUGAGUACUAGCCCUUGGAGGUAUUGACCCCUUCAGGAGCGCAGCUAACGCAUUAAGUACUCCGCCUGGGAAGUACGGUCGCAAGACUAAAACUCAAAGGAAUUGGCGGGGGCCCACACAAGCGGCGGAUUAUGUGGUUUAAUUCGAAGCAACGCGCAGAACCUUACCAAGACUUGAAAUCCUAGGAAUCCGAUGUAAUGGUCGGAGUGCUCGCAAGAGAAUCUAGUGACAGGUGCUGCAUGGCUGUCGUCAGCUCGUGUUGUGAAAUGUUGGGUUAAGUCUCGCAACGAGCGCAACCCCUAUCUUUAGUUGCCAGCAUUAAGUUGGGCACUCUAGAGAGACUGCCCGGGUUAACCGGGAGGAAGGUGGGGAUGACGUCAAGUCCUCAUGGCCCUUAUGUCUUGGGCUACACACGUAAUACAAUGGUUGAUACAAAGGGAAGCGACCCGGUGACGGUGAGCAAAUCUCAAAAAGUCAAUCUCAGUCCGGAUUGGAGUCUGCAACUCGACUCCAUGAAGUUGGAAUCGCUAGUAAUCGCGGAUCAGCACGCCGCGGUGAAUACGUUCCCGGGCCUUGUACACACCGCCCGUCACACCAUGGGAGUUGUUUUCAUUUUAAGACGUGACU